GUGUCUAACCGUAAGGAGGACGCUUACCACGGUGUGGCCGAUGACUGGGGUGAAGUCGUAACAAGGUAGCCGUAGGGGAACCUGCGGCUGGAUCACCUCCUUAACGAAAGAUUGACGAUUGGUAAGAAUCCACAACAAGUUGUUCUUCAUUGAUGUAUCUGAGGGUCUGUAGCUCAGUUGGUUAGAGCACACGCUUGAUAAGCGUGGGGUCACAAGUUCAAGUCUUGUCAGACCCACCAAGUCUACUGAACACAGAAGAGCAGAUAUAUUAAGAUCUUAAGCUGGGGACUUAGCUUAGUUGGUAGAGCGCCUGCUUUGCACGCAGGAGGUCAACGGUUCGACUCCGUUAGUCUCCACCACUAAUAAAAGACUAAGUGAUUACAGAACUUAGUAAGCCGAUAGCUUAUUAAGUUCUGUGAUUUAUCACAGUUAACUACUCGCUGACGAGGCGGUAGUGAAUCAUUAACAGAAUAUAUUUGAGUUGAAAUAAUUGUUUAAACUCGUUUUAGUUGAUGUUAGCAAGCAAUUGUUAAUGUUGAAUGAAAUGAGCACUAGCGAUAAAACUGAAUCAAGCGUUUUGGUAUAUGAAUUAAAUUGAAGCUGUAUGGUGAUUAAGUUCACAGGCAACAAAUAGAAGUGGUUAAGUCCACAUUGUUGAUCCUCCUUGUAGGGAUUAGCGACUGUUUGGGGUUGUAUAGUCAAGUAAUUAAGUGCAUGUGGUGGAUGCCUUGGCAGUCAGAGGCGAUGAAAGACGUAAUAGCCUGCGAUAAGCUUCGGGGAGGCGGCAAAUAUCCUGUGAUCCGGAGAUUUCUA
Molecule: ribosomal RNA, 813 nt
Filed under: toluene-degrading bacterium UCR 021e
Lineage: Bacteria
Description: partial 16S ribosomal RNA
Rfam family: Bacterial small subunit ribosomal RNA (bases 1-103)
Source: RNAcentral